This 305-nucleotide ribosomal RNA is filed under the name uncultured bacterium. Its description in RNAcentral is "bacterial SSU rRNA". It matches the Rfam family "Bacterial small subunit ribosomal RNA", at positions 332 to 656 of the family's 1533-position model. The record is from RNAcentral.
AUGACCUACGGGAGGCAGCAGUGGGGAAUAUUGCACAAUGGGGGAAACCCUGAUGCAGCGACGCCGCGUGAGUGAAGAAGUAUUUCGGUAUGUAAAGCUCUAUCAGCAGGGAAGAUAAUGACGGUACCUGACUAAGAAGCCCCGGCUAACUACGUGCCAGCAGCCGCGGUAAUACGUAGGGGGCAAGCGUUAUCCGGAUUUACUGGGUGUAAAGGGUGCGUAGGUGGCAGGGCAAGUCAGAUGUGAAAGCUAGGGGCUCAACCCCUAAACUGCGCUUGAAACUGUGGAGCUUGAGUGAAGUAGAG